CGCGCGAUACAGGGUGACAGCCCCGUACACAAAAGCGCAUGUGCUGUGAGCUCGAUGAGUAGGGCGGGACACGUGGUAUCCUGUCUGAAUAUGGGGGGACCAUCCUCCAAGGCUAAAUACUCCUGACUGACCGAUAGUGAACCAGUACCGUGAGGGAAAGGCGAAAAGAACCCCGGCGAGGGGAGUGAAAAAGAACCUGAAACCGUGUACGUACAAGCAGUGGGAGCACCCUUUGGGGUGUGACUGCGUACCUUUUGUAUAAUGGGUCAGCGACUUAUAUUCUGUAGCAAGGUUAACCGAAUAGGGGAGCCGGAGGGAAACCGAGUCUUAAUUGGGCGUUAAGUUGCAGGGUAUAGACCCGAAACCCGGUGAUCUAGCCAUGGGCAGGUUGAAGGUUGGGUAACACUAACUGGAGGACCGAACCGACUAAUGUUGAAAAAUUAGCGGAUGACCUGUGGCUGGGGGUGAAAGGCCAAUCAAACCGGGAGAUAGCUGGUUCUCCCCGAAAGCUAUUUAGGUAGCGCCUCGUGAAUUCAUCUCCGGGGGUAG
RNAcentral lists this ribosomal RNA (549 nucleotides) under Salmonella enterica subsp. enterica serovar Agona. Its description in RNAcentral is "partial 23S ribosomal RNA". It matches the Rfam family "Bacterial large subunit ribosomal RNA", at positions 351 to 905 of the family's 2925-position model. Lineage: Bacteria; Pseudomonadati; Pseudomonadota; Gammaproteobacteria; Enterobacterales; Enterobacteriaceae. The record is from RNAcentral.